Molecule: ribosomal RNA, 138 nt
Filed under: uncultured eukaryote
Lineage: Eukaryota
Description: partial 18S ribosomal RNA
Rfam family: Eukaryotic small subunit ribosomal RNA
Source: RNAcentral
UGGUGGAGCGAUUUGUCUGGUUAAUUCCGAUAACGAACGAGACUCUAGCCUGCUAAAUAGUACACUGAUCUUUAAUGUCAGUGCUGUACUUCUUAGAGGGACAAGUAGCGGUUAGCUACACGAAAUUGAGCAAUAACA